Molecule: transfer RNA, 65 nt
Filed under: Plectrocnemia tortosa
Lineage: Eukaryota; Metazoa; Arthropoda; Insecta; Trichoptera; Polycentropodidae
Description: tRNA-Leu
Source: RNAcentral
UCUAAUAUGGCAGAAUUAAUGCAAUGGAUUUAAAUUCCAUUAAUAAAAUAAUAUUUUUUUUAGAA